RNAcentral lists this long non-coding RNA (18520 nucleotides) under Triticum aestivum (bread wheat). RNAcentral describes it as "long non-coding RNA (TAES_LNC004197)". The stretch from base 14352 to 14486 matches the Rfam family "MIR1120/MIR1122 microRNA precursor family". The record is from RNAcentral. Lineage: Eukaryota; Viridiplantae; Streptophyta; Magnoliopsida; Poales; Poaceae.
AAUAAACUCUGAUAUAAGGGAGGAGAUCUGCCUCGGGUGAAUCCAUGAGCAGCUAUCGAUAGGGAUUCAGCUUGUUAUUUCUCUUUAUAGUCGCUGUUUAUCUUGUGCCAGAAAAUCAGAUGUCAUUUUUUUCUUCCUUGAGUGUUUCUUCGGGGUUUACAGUGUUAGAAUGGCAUGGUCACUGGGAUGUGUCAUUCCUUUGCUCCAUUGUCACAGCUUGUAGCUAAUGUCUGUUGUUGCAUCUUUAUCAUGUUACUGGUGUUCAUCCUGUUGGUUAUACAUGUGGCUUCAGAUACUAAGAUUAUCUUAGCAAUCUACAUAUUCUGCAAUUCAGCAUUUCUUUGCGUGUGAAUACUGAAUAUAAUUUGUUGUGAAAUCUGCUUCUGAGACGAAUGCAAUUGGGACAUGGCUGUUGUGUAAACUCAAUAUUUCUUCGCCAGGAAAAAACGUGUGGUUCCUUUAAGAAGGAAAAAAAACUCAUGGUAUCCUAUAUAUCAUAGCAGUGCAGUUAAUUGAGCACAUAAUCUCUAUGCAGUUUAUAUUUUUGAGGCGUUUUAGGCAUAUUUAUACCACUCUUGCCCAAACUUUGGCUGGCUUGUGCUCUUUAGUGCUUGGGCUGUAGGUCACUGUGGUUAUUAGCUGACCAGGACUCUCAUUAUUGACUCUGUCAGGUUUUGGUGUUUCUACUUGAGUUUGUUCCCUCAUUGCAAGGUUGACUCCACCAUGCCUUGUCUUAACAUAUUUGUGUUUUUGAGGGUGAAAGCUGACGGAGCUGAGAUUGAGAUUGAGAUACCAAAGGUCAAUCGGCAAGAUGCAUGCUUCAAGUAGCUAUUAUCACUGGAACUUGGUAGUAUCUGGGAACACUCCAGGUAAGGAUUUUGUAUUCAGUGAUCUCUCUAACUCUUGAUGAAUGAGCACAAUGGUAGAGAUUGAAGGAAGAGAUCCAACAACUGACAGGGUCAGUUUCUUCCUGCAAUGUGUUCUCAUGCAAGUUCCAAGUCAGAUAUUUUUUCCUGGAACAAUGCUCUGAUAACUAAAUCGGUGCAGGGAACUCAAAGCCAUCUCCUUUGGUGUUUGCAUUCACCUGAAUUCUCAAAUUUAUCCCGGAUCUCUCGCAUUUUAAGGUGUGUAUUAUGGAGGCGCACUCGCGUGGAUGUGUCCGUGGCCGUGUGACACACGUACGUGAUACAUGCCAAAAUGUCGCCGAGGUGUCGGUGGACCUUGAUGAUGAAGAUGGUUCUGCCAAAGAGGUCAGUAUCCAGAUAUGUGACUCUGAGUGAUCAGCUGGCUGGUUGUCCCAUCGAAAAUGAGGUACACGUUUGCUUUGCGCUAUCAGCACGUCUCGUUUUCAGGCCUUUGUCCAGAAUAUUCCAGUACAAUGCAUUUGUUUUUGCUUCAGUCUUUUGCUUUUUCCUGGAUUCCAGUUUCAUUGGUAUGCUGCGCGCAGACUGUGAGGUUUUGGUGUAGUUAUUAUGAUUGUGCGUGUCGUCCAUUCAUUCACGGUUGAUUUACCUCACGGUUGAUUUACCACACAUUGUCUCACACUUUUGUUUGUUUCAUUUAUAUGACAAGUGAGGCGAGAGGUUGAUGAGGCUGUGAUUGAGAAACCAGAGGUCAAUCCGUGAUAAGAUCUAUGCUUGAAGUAGUUAUUAUAACUGGAAACAUGGCAUCUGGGAACAGACACUCACUCAGGUAAGCAGACGGUAGUAUUCAGUAACCUCCCUUCUGAAUUCACUUGGAAAAAACAAACCUCACUUCAGGUUGAAAGGUUGCGGAUUGCUCCUGAGAAACGAUCCUGGGUUGGCGCAUGGGAACUGAAAACCACGGGAUUCAAAUCUUGGUGCUCGCUUUUACCUGAAUCUACCUCAGAUCCUUUGCUAGUAGGGGACAUACUCGUGUGGCGUGCCUCAGGCGUUCUAGUACAUGCCAAGAUUCCACCAAGUUACCGGUGAAUGAUUGGUACGGACAUCUGCCUUGAUGACGAUUCGACCAAGAGGCUGGCUGGUAAUGCUAAGCAAUCGAUGGCCAGAUAGCCGGUUGUUCCAUCAAAAAACGCGAACAUGCUUGCUUGGCGACAUUGAGGUGUCAUUUCCACCGUUCGUCGUACGCCCUUGUCCACGAUAUUCCAAACCAUCCCUAUUUUGUUUCCUUUGUUCUUCUUGUGAAAUGGAUGUUUGAGCUGUCAAAUGUGAUGAGGGAGAAGAUCCGCCUUGGGUGAAUCCAUGAGCAGCUAUCGAUAGGAUUCAGCUUGUUGUUUCUCUUUAUAGUUGCUAUUUAUCUUAUGCCAGAAAAUCAGAUGUCAUUUAUUUCUUCCUUGAGCAUUUCUUUGGGGUUUACAGUGUUACAAUGGCAUGGUCACUGGGACGUGUCAUUCCUUUGCUCCAUUGUCACAGCUUUGUAGCCAAUGUCUGUUGUUGCAUCUUUAUCAUGUUACUGGUGUUCAUCCUGUUGGUUAUACAUGUGGCUUCAGUUACUAAGAUUAUUUUAGCAAUCUACUCCCUCUGUAAACUUUUAUAAGACGUUUUAGGUCACUUAGUGCCCAUAGAGGGAGUACAUAUUAGCCAAUUCAGCAUUUCUUUGCUUGUGUAAUUUGUUGUGAAAUCUGCUUCUGAGAUGAAUGCAAUUGGGACAUGGCUGUUGUGUAAACUUGGACAAACGGACAAUUUAACCCCAUUUCCUUGUAUUCCUGGGUAGUCAGCUCAAUCAACUCACUAUUUCGGUGGCGGGGAGGGGAGAGCGCCUACCGCCUAUCCAACGCCCGGGUUUGCAGUGUUUUUUUCUUUUUUCGAAACGAAGGCAAAAGCUAAGAAGGGUAACAGAAGUUUAUGACGAGGUCAUUACUCCUCAACAAAUGAGACUAAAGCCUACUCUCGCGGCAUAAUAGAGCCCAGGUGCCUAGCACCGGCGGUCACCCAUAACUUAGCCUCGUUCCGAACAUGCGCGAAGACGAUGGAAGGCAGUGUAGACUUCUUGCGAAAAACCCGUGCAUUCCUCUCGUUCCACAGUGCCCACGCCACAAGCAUGAGUGUGGUGGCAAUAGCUUUCUUCCUGUGACCAUGAGUAAGCACCACGGCAUACCACCAAUCUUGCACCGAAGGCAGGCCACCCCAUUGGUCAAGACGCAACUCCUACGCACCCAGCCACGUCUUUACGGCCUCCCACACACGGAUGGAGUACCUACACUUGAAGAGAAGGUGCGCCCUAGACUCCGGCUCCCUUUGACACAGCUGGCAUAGGCCACAGUUUGGCCAACCCCUCUUCUGCAAUCGAUCCGCGGUCCAAAUCCUAUUCUUGAUGACAAGCCAAGCAAAAAACUUGCACUUGGGCGGCGCCCAGUUAUCCCAGACCGCGGGCUUCAUGCGUGUGGUGAUGGCUCCCUCAAAUUGCGUGAGAUAGGCAGAAGCAGCGGAGUAAGAGCCAUUUGGCGUGCGAUCCCAAACGAUGGUGUCUGGAGUGUCAUGUUGCAAGAGAACAAUAUCAAGCCUCGCCCAAAGUGUGCAGAAUUGGUGGAUGUGGUUGACCGUGAGCCCUUGAGACAUUCAAUUCUCGAGAGCCAAGCAUUGUCCAGGAGUGCAUCCCGCACCGAAGAAUUCUUUCUUGCCGAGAUCUGAAACACGAGAGGAGCGAUAUCCUUGGGUUUUUCGCCACUGAGCCAAGGGGAUAGCCAGAACCUUGCCAACAGACCGUUGCCCACAGUAAUUGUGGUGACGUCGUAGAAAAGCUCCAUGUCCUUGGCAUCCCAAGGCUUGCUCAAAUCGACCCAAGCUCUGUCCGGCUCCGUCCACUCGUACUUGCAGUGUGUUUGUUUCUCAUGCAAGUUGCAACUGUGAUAAUAAUCAUCAGGCUUCUUCGAAUUGUUCCGAGUCUGAUUUUGCUUAUAAGCUUUUAAAUAACUAAACGGGUGCAGGGAGCUCAAAUCCAUCUCUUUUGUUGUUUGCAUUCAUGCGAAUUCUGGAAUUUAUCUCUCAUCUCUCGCAGUUUAGGUGUGCAUUAUUCCCGUACGUGAAUGCCAAAAUGUCACCGAGGUGUCGGUGGACCUUGAUGCUGACGACGACUCUGCCAAGAGGUCGGUGUCCAGAUCUGUGAAUGAUCAGUACGCCGAUUGUCCCAUCCAAACGUGGUACGCGUUGCCAUGCAUGCUCGUUUUCAGGUCUUUGUCCAGAAUAUUCCGUACCAGGCACUUUGUUGCGAAAUUGAUGUGGUAAAUGUCAGAUCACGGACGCAUCGGAAACACAUGGGAUCAUCAUACUCCAAGACUCGUACUUCUUUGUUCCUUUGUUUUUUCUUGAAUUCCAAUUUCAUUGGUAUUGCUGUGCGCGGUCCCUUAGACAGGGUUCGUGAAAAAAUAGAAGAAAAUGGCCUGGUUAAUUAACGAAAAUCCAGAUGAAAAUUGUUAGAACACGACCAAAAGUGAGGGCACCUGCUGACCUGCAAAGUCAUCAUCAUCAUUUCUCAUUGAGCAAACAACUUCGACUUCACGGCGGACGACCCAUGAAGACCUCUCUAAACAAAUGGCACACGAGAACCAAGUCAGCCUAUGCCAAAUAGCCGGCCAAACGCGCCGAGGAUUAGGCAGCUCCGAGUUUGGUCGUAGACUCACAAAAGAAAGAAGCACGCCUUGCCCUAACAUAGCCACAUCUGCCCAUCAUCCCUCCGCAUCGGCCCACAAAGCUACAACUCCGACUUCACGCUGAAGUACACAUCGAAUGGUCGAUGUCAAAGGACUUCCUGUGACUCUGCUACUCAUGCCACCAUUAUUGUUCCCACACAAGUAGCAACUCCACCAGGAGCGAGGCAGCUACCCCGCUACCCGCACUCGCAUCAUCGGCCGGGAACCUGCCGACCGCAAUGACGUGCGCAUCCAACCUCAGGAAAGUAUGAAGGGGAUUGAUGACCUUCAAGGCGAUGCCCCCAAGGGGUUAGCGACGUGGGAAAUGACACCGUCAUCCAACUCACACCGGAGUCUUAGGCCUUGUACAAUACAAGGUGCUUCGUAAAAUAAACCAUGUUUCCUUGAGAAUUCGUGCUUACUCUAUAGGAGGGGUGCCUACUUAAUCGUCUACCCUCUACAAAUAAGCACGAGUGCUUAAAAAAAGUGAUUUAUUUCUCUAAGCACCUUGCAUUGCACCGUGAUGAAUUCCCCCUCUGACAGAGUCUGGAAAAGACCUCCGGAUUGGAUCGUCAAACAGAGAGGCGUGGCCCCAGAAAAAUUAGGGUUAAUAUUCCGAAGUAUUUUCAGUAGUAUAUAGAAGCGUAGGCGUUGAAAGGAAAUGGAUGGAAGAUCCAGGGGCCCCAUGCGGCCCCACCAUGUGUCCCUGGGCGUGUGGUGGGGGUUGUGCCCCCCGGGUUGCUUCUUGUGCCUCUAAAAGCUUCCCAACCAAAAAAAGCUUUUGGGAUUUUUUUAGAUCUUUUGGAGCCCCGUAAAAUUGUUUUUCCCGGAAGUCCAAAAAUAUGCAGAAAACAAUAAUUGACAUUGGGCAUAAUAGGUUAGUCCAGAAAAAUAAUAAAAAUUUAUGUCAAAAUUCAAAACUAUGCCAAAAUGAUAUAAAUAUAGCAUGAAACAAACAAAAAUUAAAGAUACAUUUGUGAUGUAUCACACGUGUCCCCUUGGACUUGAAGAACAUGCGGUUCUCAGCGAGAAGUUGCGGAUCGUCCUUGACGAGCUUCCCCACCUAGGUGACAUUAUAGCGCUUGGCUUUGCAGUGCUCCUUCUCCUUGGCUAGGGAGACUACCCUAAUGGGAAGCGUGAGGAAGUCCGCGAUCAGGGUGUCGGUGGGGAAGUUGAGCCUCACCCGUGUCCCGUAGUAGCGGAGCAUCACAUCGUCGUACGAGCGUGCCGCCUCCUCCCUGAUGACAAACGUGCCAAUCCAGGCAAAUUUGACAAAUUUGACCUAUAGUCGAAAUCAAAUCACAGAAUGAACUGUCCGUGAAACUAUUUCACGCGGUUGACCCUUGGUGCCUAACUCUCAAGCGCUGCACUAGUGCAACGCCCAGGAGCUAGGCGCUGCACUAGUGCAACGCCCAGGAGCCAGGCGCUACACUGUGUAGUGUGGCGCCUAGCUCUCAGGCGCUGCACGCUGACUUGGGCACAUAUGGGUGCGACGCUGGCCGUGUAGCGCCUAUCUGUGAGGCGUUGCACAGUAGGGUGUGGCGCCGGCGUGGCGGACGCUACACAAAAGGGUCAGGGGAGUGAAAUAGUUUCGCAACCAGUUCAUUCUGUGAAAUGAUUUCGUCCUGAGGUCAAAAUUAUCAAAUUUGCCGCCAAUCCACUAGCGCUUUCCCAUGUCCGGGUUGAGGAUCUCCGCCACCCACCCGCCCCACAACCACUGCCUCGUACGAUGGUACCUCAGCGGUGGCGAUGGCGGCUGCGACAUGCCCAAUGGCAGGGAGCUCGCAAGGAAGAACUAUAAAAAAGUAUAUAAAUUUUAAAAUCAAAUGAAAAAAAUUAGCACGACCAUUGCUAACAAUUGGACAGAUAUUGAGUGCCAGAAAUUUGACGAAACAUAGAUGAAUCUACCUUUCACCAAAAUGUUGGCACUUAUUUUGAACCCCUAAAAUGUUUGAAAACAUGCACAACACAAAUUCAUUGCGAGCAAUACAAGGUUGGCUCGGCUCAAUGGUCAAAAUAUCACAAUUCAUUUGUUGUCUGUAUUGAUAGUGUAUUUGCCGAAAAACUAAAGGUAAACAUGGUUCCACGCGCACCCAUGUGAAUAGUAAAUUCAAAAAAUUACUAGGAAAAUUUAGAAAAUUCUAAAAUUUUGGGGAAUAAAACUUGGUCGUCCAUUCUAUUCAUGUGUGAAGUUUCGUGAAGUAUUGACACCGGUGGUAUUCUUAGUGAAGAAAAUACAAUUUGAAGUUUACUAUUCACCAAACAUUGUUUUUUAAAUAUAAUUCCGAUUUUGUCAUUUUUGCCCAGAAUACCAAGGGUGUCAUUUAUUCAUGAAACUUCAUAUGUGAGUAUACCGGAUGACAAUGUAUGUUACAAUUUUUUUCUAGUAUUUUUUUUGAAUUUAGUAUUCAUAAAGGGUGCACAUGGAAUCGUGUUCAAAAAAUCUGCGUCCGUGUAUUCGCUAAUUGUCAAGUUUAUAUUUGUAAAAGUCAACAUAGUAGUGUAGGAAGAGAAAUGACAUCUGUUCUGAAAAAACAAUGAAUCCCCUGCUGUAGAUAAUUUGUAUGGACUAAAGUAGCAAUCAAUAAAAGCAUAGACAUUACUUUUGUGCUAUUAAUUAUUGUAUGAACAAGGUCUAAAAAUAUAUUAACUAAAGUGCCUAGUUUGAAAGAGUUGUUGAUAACCCUAUGUGGGAAUGAAUUCUAUUUUCAUCCUCGAAGUAGAGGUAAACCUUUAAAGUUAUGGUGUGCCCCUAUAGAUAUCAACACCCACAUCGAAUCACCACCAACCGAACACCGAAUUCCAUCAAGCGUAGACCUGUUUUGUUAGAAAUCACACCAUCGAUAUCUAUUCCAUCAAAGCAUAUCCUAGCAUUUGCUAGGUUCGAAAUAAUACUAAAAUUUAAUAAUAAUGUAUAAAUGAAUUCGUAGGCUUUGCGCUAGAAGUGGCCGGCGGUCAAAUUGUCAUCUCCGACACCGACGACGACAGGUGGCGCGGCGCACAUGCUAGGUUGGGUGGCAGCGGACAUGUUGCACGCGGUUCAUGUGAGGUGAAGGGAGGGGAGGGUGACGAAAGAGCAGGAGGGUGGUGAUGGCGACAAUCAGUGAGGGCACUGGGACGGUGAAAGGCGAUGGAAGGCAUUUGGCUAGCUACGUAUUUGUGGAAUUUGGCGAAGUCCCAUGUGUGGCCGAAUUGUUAAGGGUAAUGAAAAAUUUACGUAUUUGUGGAUGCCAUUUACACAAAAUUUACCCUAGGUUAUGUUUUGAACAACUUUUUUUCCUGGGGUAAAUUUAUCGUGGUGUUUGUACCUACGUUAUCAUGUCUGUGGUGCAUAUAUUACCAUGCCUUUUACACAGAAAGUUGAUGCGGUAUGUUUUCAACAUCUUUUUUCCCUUGGGCAAAGUUAAUGUGGUGUUUGUACAUAAUUUAUUAGCUCGUUGGUGCGUAUAUUAUCGUUCUAUUUACACAAUAGUCAGCAGGGUAUGUUUUCAACAACUUUUUCCCCUGGUCAAUGUUACCACGUUGUUGUACGUAAGUUACCAGUUCAACCUGCAUGUAUUAUCAUGCUAUUUACAUAGAAAGUUGUCAAUGGUAUGUUUUCAAUAACUUUUUUCCCUUGGGUCAAAGUUAUGCGGUGUUUUUAUGUAAGUUAUCAGGUUUGUAGUUCGUAUAUUACCAUUCUAUUUACACAGAAGUUAUUGGGGGUUUAUUUUCGAUAACUUUUUCCUAAGUCAAUAACUUUUCCAUUCCAGAUCUAGACAAAGCUGGCGGGGGGCUUGAACAACAGGGUGGUGGUGCUGGUCGGAUUGGGAGGAGCUAGAGCAAGAGAUCACCAUAGCUCCUUGUUUGGGCGCUCAGGAGGGAGGAGAUGAACUAGAAGAGAUGUAGGGGUAGGUCGAAGUGGUGGACUAGGGAGAGAGCUUCGGCGGGCAGAGCUCUAGUGGACGGUGCAAUAUGUGGCUUUGUGCCAGAGCAAAGAGGAAGGAGUGGCGUCGGAGCUCAAGCCAUGGUGGCCGUAGCAAUGUGCAUGUCAACUGUUAUGCUAGAUUGUGCACUGUUUUGUCUUGGAUCAUAGCAAUGUGCAUGUCAAUGGUUAUGUUGGAUUGUACACUGCUUUGUCUUGGAUCAUAGCAAUGUGCAUGUUAAUGAUUAUACUAGAUUUUGUAGUGCCUAUGUCUUUGCAUGUCCAUGACUGUGCAAUGCCUUUGUGUUAGAUCAUGCUAAUGUGCAAUGUCCAUGUUUAUGAUUCAAUUAUGUGUUGCCUAUGUCUUUGCAUUCCCAUGUUGUGCUUGAUUCCGCACUUACUUGAUUGAUUGUGCAAUGGUAUCCAUCAACUGGCUUCCAAGACAUGCUCCCGCCGAAUCGGUUGGCACUGAAGCCUGUAGUGCCGGGGAGGAGGGAGCUGGCGGCGGCGCCUCUACACACGCAUGGCCAUCGACCCAAGCUCGACUACAAGGCGAGAGAACCAGUGCCACACCGGUUUUAUGUCCAGAUGGACAUGGACGACAUGGCAAUGCUUAUCAUCUCGACGGCUUUCUAAAGGCUCCUCAAGACCUGGCCGAACACCUUGCUACCUCUUGAGCAUGCGUUGGUUUGCCCCUGAAGAGGAAAGGGUGAUGCAGCAAAGUAGCGUAAGUAUUUCCCUCAGUUUUUGAGAACCAAGGUAUCAAUCCAGUAGGAGACUACACGCAAGUCCCUCGUACCUGCACAAACAAUUAAGAACCUUGCAACCAACGCGAUAAAGGGGUUGUCAAUCCCUUCACGGCCACUUGCAAAAGUGAGAUCUGAUAAAGAUAAUAAGAUAAAUAUUUUUGGUAUUUUUGUUGUAUAGAUUAAAAAGUAAAGAUUCCAAAAUAAACGGCGGCAGAAAUAGCACAUUAGCGGGAGAUUAAUAUGAUGGAAAAUAGACCCGGGGGCCAUAGGUUUCACUAGUGGCUUCUCUCAAGAUGGCAAAUUCUACGGUGGGUGAACAAAUUACUGUCGAGCAAUUAAUAGAAAAGCGCAUAAUUAUGAGAAUAUCUAGGCAUGAUCAUGUAUAUAGGCAUCACGUCCGUGACAAGUAGACCACUACAAAAAAAAAAAGACACAUCCGUGACAUUUUGGGCCGAACGAUUUUUUUUCUAUCAUACUUAUGACACUUCUAUGAAGAUAAUUGUGACAAAACCCGGUAUCAUCAUAGAUGUGGUGGGGUCCUACUUCUAUGACAAAAAAUCAUGACAGAAAAUGGGCUUUUCGUUCUGGGCGGGCCGGAGACGCAGCUGCAUGACAUUCUUUGGGCCAUCCAUGACGGAAAAAACCGUGGUAGAAGCGAGGGUGAGGAAAAUAUCAGGGUGUUCCUGGUUACGGUGGGUGGUCGGGGCCGAGCGAUGCGCGUUUGUCUCAUACACGCACGCGCGUGGGUGCGUGGCGUUGGGCUCUAACUGAACCCGAGCAAGGCGUUGGGCUCUAACUGAACCCGAGCGAUUGCACUGCAGGCUAGGCGUUACUGAACUCGAGCGAUCGAUCGAUGGCUGUUAACUGAACCCGAUCGAGCGAUUCCUUCGCUACUGCAGCUAACUGAAGCCGAUCGAUGCUGCCUCUGGAUGAACAGUGAGCGUUGCUGGGGGGGUUUGGAUGAACAGUUCCCGGUGGGGGUAGAUGAACAGGACCCCGUGGUAUUGCCUCUGGAUGAACAGGACCCCGAUCGAUCAAGCCGGUUGGGGCUGGAUGAACAGGACCCCGUGGAGGGCUGGAUGAACAGUAGAUGGUGGGGGGCUGGAUGACCAGUAGCCCGUGGAGGGGUGGUUGAACAGGAGCCUGUGGAGAGGGUUGGUUGAACAGUAGCCGGCGGAGUAGCGCACGGUGGAGGCUGGAUGAACAGUCGCAGGUGGAGGCUGGAGGAGGUCGACGGUGGAUGAACAGUAGCCCGUGGAGGCUGGAGGGGGUCGACUGUGGAGAUGAACAGUAUCCCGUGGAGUCCCGUUUUGCGAUACGCCACACCCCUCCCGAUGAAUAGGACCCCCGUUUCGAUCGUAGCGCUCCAACACAAGUCAGUUUCCUCCGUUUUGCGGUACGCCACACCCCUCCCGGUCAACAGGACCCCCGUUUCGACCGUAGGAGGUCCGUUUCCUCCGUUUUGCGGUAUGGCAGACCCCUCCCGAUGAACAGGAUCUCGUUUCGACCGUGGCCGGUCGAACACAAGGCUGUUUCCUCCGUUCUGCGGUAUGCCAGGCCUCAUUUCCAUCGGCUGUUCCGUCCAAGCCCUCCUGAUGAACACGACGACGCAUUCUGUUCCGACCCAGCCGGUUGGCUCCCCAUGAACACGACGACAACGCAGUUUCUUCGUUCCGACCCAGCCAUGUACACGAGCCCUGGCCAUACGUAUGCGCGAGUAGGCGUUCGAGACCCUACCCGUAUGUAUGUACGUGGCCGUAUUUUCUUUCUUGCACACUGGCCGUUGUACGUACGUGUACAUGCUACGUGCGUGCCUCUACUACGACACUUGCGCGCCUCUACAUCGACCAGUAUGUACGUACACGUUCGCGACCAGAAUGACAACGCUACGUACGCUUCGACCAGGUGGGUCCCGACUGUCAGGCACUUCCUUGCGUGCGAAGAUGUAGCUGGUGGGUCCCAGCAGUCAGGGGGUGAAUCGUUUUUUUGCCCAGACACACUUCUUUGCGUGCGAAGAUGUAGCUGGUGGGUCCUAGCAGUCAGGGGGAAACUUUUUUUUUCGCGAAAUACGGUGGCCCGUCCGGUGGGUCCCCGCUGUCAGGUGGAGGAAUAAUUAUUUUGCGCGUAAUAAGGAGGCACUUCCUUGCUGCGGCCGUGGACCUAGCUGUCAGCCUCUCCACGUACAGUACUCUUCCGAUGGAAGUCGGUCAUUGACCACAUUGACCACGCCGCACCGAGAGCACCAAGGCGGUGGACGACGGCGAGGCCUAGGAAGGGGACGACGCGGAGCCAGGGAAGACGCGGCUGUGGAUGCCCACGCAUAGAGGAGUACGAGGGUUCACUGGUUCGGCUGCGGUGUGAGGCUGCCGUCGCCGCAGAAUAACAGAGGGUGUGGGUGAGUAGAGGGAUGGCCUGGCCAGCGGUGGGAGUAGUAGGGGGCGGUGAGGCCUCCGCGGCAUCGCAGCCGGCCAUGGGAGGCAGGAGCACGAGGCACGACAGACGCUGGUUUGGGCGGCCGGAGCAAGAAGACCAGAGGUUGAAGAAGCACUACGGCCGUUGGAUGGACAUCGUACGAUCACUGGAGCUAUAAUCGUGCAUAUUGACUAAGUUGACAAAGCCCUCCGUCCCCGUCAACUUAGUAGGCCCACAAGUCAGCCUCCCACUAUAAUGGGUCCCAGCUAGCAGGGGGAGUAUUCAUUUUUUUGUGCGUAAUAAGGAGGCACUUCCUUGCGUGCGAAGAUAUAGCUGGUGGGUCCGAGCUGUCAGUGGCGGUAACGUUUUUUUCGUGAAAUACAGAGGCCCUUUCGGUGGGUCCCAGAUGUCAGGUGGAGGAAUCAUUAUUUUGCGUGUAAUAAGGAGGCAUUUCCUUGCGUGCGGCCGUGGACCCAGCUGUCGGCCUCUCCACGUACAGUCCACAUCAGAUGCAUGUCGGUCGUUGACCACGUUGACCAUGCCGCGCCGAGAGCACCAGGGCGGUGGACGACGGUGAGGCCUAGGAAGGGAACGACACGGAGCCAGGGAAGACUCGACAGUUGUUUCCCACGCGGAGGGGAGUAUGACUGUACGAGGGUUUACUGGUUCGUCUGCCGUCGCCGGAGAAUAACAGCAGGUGUGGGUGAGUAGAGGGAUGGCUAGGCCAGCGAUGGGAGUAUGGUGGGGCGGUGAGGCCUGCGCGGCAGCACAGCCGGCCGCGGGGAGGAGGGAGCAGGCAGUCCCGCCGGCGCUUGUUUGAGCGGCUGGAGCAGGAAGAGCAGAGAUUAAAGAAGCACGACGGCCGUUGGAUGGACAUCCAACAGUCACUGCUUGUGCGUCAACCUUUUUUUAGGAAAGCCUCAAAUCUGUGGAAAACAGCAUACAACCCAUCUGCCAUUAUUUCUAAUAAUUUACAGCCCAUUUGCUAAUUCUUAAGGUUUUUUUGGAGCCCAUAUUCUUUUUGUUAGCAUUACAGCCCAUAUUGUAGCCACGGUUAAAAAAUUAUACGAAAUUUUGCAUAUUUCGGUGCGGUCCGAACUGUUUUUAAUCCCGAAAUUUCGAGUCACGUUCAAACUGAUUUUAAAAAUAAAUAUAUAUCAAUAUAAAAUCCAACAAAUUGUCCACGCAUAAAAAUCAAUGCAAUUUAAAAUCUCGAAAUGAAAAAAGAAAUUUGAAACUAAUUGCCGGUUUGAUGUGUUUUAAAAACGUACAACCCAUUUCUCAUUACUGAUAGGCCAUUUUCUCGGCCAGCCGAAUGAAGGCCAGUUCUUUUGAUGGCUUCUAGAAUAACCUGCACCCUACCUAGUUUAUUCUAGAAGCCCAACCAAAUUUAUUUUUUUAGAAGCCUAGUAGUUAAGAAUUAACAUAGGCUUCUAAAAGGAAAGUUUUAGUUGGGCUUCUAGAAUAAGCUGGGUAGGGGGCAGCUUAUUCAGGAAGCCCGAAAAAGCUAGCAAAAGAACUGGCCCUGAAGCUCUCCUCGUCUUGAAAGAUUUACAGCCCAACAGGCCUGAUAAAGCGACUUACUUGGCAAAUCACAAAAAAACUGGGCUGUGGCCGUGGACCCAGCUGCGGCCGUGGACCCAGCUGUCAGCCUCUCCACGUACAGUACUCUUCCGAUGGAAGUCGGUCAUUGACCACAUUGACCACGCCGCGCCGAGAGCACCAAGGCGGUGGACGACGGCGAGGCCUAGGAAGGGGACGACGCGGAGCCGGGGAAGACACGGCAGUGGAUGCCCACGCGGAGAGGAGUACGAGGGUUCACUGGUUCGGCUGCGGUGUGAGGCUGCCGUCGCCGCAGGGCCUGGCUAGCGGUGGGAGUAGUAGGGGGCGGUGAGGCCUCAACGGCAGCACAACCGGCCACUAAAGGCAGGAGCAGGCGGUCUAGCCGGUGCUGGUUUGGGCAGCUGGUGCAAGAAGAGCAGCGAUUGAAGAAGCAGCAGGACCGUUCGAUUCAAAUCCAAUAGUUACUGUUGCUAGAAUCAUUUGUUGACUAAGUUGACAAGCCCUGCGUAUGCGUCAUCUUAGUAGGCCCAUAGGUCAGCCUCCCAACCGGUGCGCCCCAGAUGUCAGUGGGAGGAAUAAUUUUUUUCAGGUAAUAAGGAGGCAGUUGAUUGCGCAUGGCUAGGCCAGCGGAGGGAGUAGGGUGGGCCGGGGAAGCCUGCGCGGCAUCAGAACGGGCCACAAGAGGAGGAAGCAGGCAGUCCCGCCGGCGCUAGUUUAGGCGGCUGGAGCAGGAAGAUCAGAGAUUGAAGAAGCACGUCGGCCGUUGGAUGGACAUCCAACAGUCACUACUCCUAGAAUCGUGUGUUGACUGACAAAGCCUUGCGUGAACAAGUCAGCCUCGAAAUCUGUGGCGUGUACAACCCAUUCGCUAUUAUUUUUAUAAUUUUUACUCAUUUUCUAAUUCAUAUGGAAUUUAUUGCAGCCCGUUUUUCAUUUUUAGAAUUGCUGCCCAUUUUCUUGUCAGUACCAGGGUUAAAAAAUUAACUAAAUAUGUGGGAAAUUUUGAAAAUUCGCAAAUUUUUGCUGGGGAACAAAAUAUUCUUAAUCCAAAAAUUAGUAGCCAUACUAAAACAAAUUUAAAAAUAAAUUAGUACUAUGUCAUGUUAAAUCCAAUGAAAUACUCCCUCCGUCCCAAAAUUCUUGUCUUAGAUUUGUCUAAUUACGGAUGUAUCAAGUCACGUUUUGGUAUUAGAUACAUCCGUAUCUAGACUAAUCUAUGACAAGAAUUUUGGGACGGAGGGAGUAUAAGAUAUUAGUGAAGAACAAAAACAAAAAAAAGAAACUAAUAUCCCAUUUGCUAUAAUUUUUUUGGAAUUUUCAACCCCUUUUGAUACUACUUUUAACAGACAUUGACCAUACUCUUUGGCCAGGCCGGAAUGCAUCACUCCUCGUCUUGAAAGAUUUGCAGCCCAGUAAGUCGGAGAAAACAAAUAUGCCUAGCUUGGGUAUUCUUCAAAAAGAAAUGCUGGGCUACCUAUUUUCCCAAAGAAAAAACUGCUGGGCUGGUCAUGUUGUUAGACGGGCCACAGAGACCGCACAACCCAGUUUAUAGCCUGCUCCUCCGAAUUACCACUAAAAAAGUUGUGCAAUUCUAUCGUUAAUUGACUAUACGUUGAAAAUGAUGUGGGUCCCAGAUAUCAGCAGGGUGGAUUAGAGUAAAAAAACGAGGGGUUCAUCUGAGUAGUAAAAGAGGCGCUUGCUUGUGUUCGGGAGUGGACCUGGUGGGUCCGUACUAUCAUACUCACAACUACAGUCCUCUCCCGAUUCACUAUGUUGACAGGGACCAUUUCAAAAAAACUAUGUUGACAGGGCCGGACGGUGGUGCCGCGGCGAGCGCACCAAGGCAGAGGAUAAAGUGCUGUCGCCAAUGUGCUGGGCUGGGUUGGACAUUCUUAUUGAAAAAUAAAAAUGGACCGGAUCUAUUUACGACGUUGACUACGAUUUGCAUGGGUCCGCUGGUUGUAGGAAGAAAAUGCUGGGAGAAAGAAGACUGGUCGCUAUCUUUGCCGAAGAAUAAUAUCGACUAAAUGUAACAACACUAUCAUAGGAAAUAAUAUCCUCCUGUUAAAUCGUGAAUUUAAAGAACUGGUGCAUGAGCAUUUAGUUUUAUUUAUUUAUUUACUUAUUUAUGUUUAGGGGACCAUGAGCAUGUACCUAGGCCGGAUUCAUGUGAGAACCUCCCUUCCAGUUAAUUAUGGGCUUCUCUAUUGGGCCUUCAUCAGUGGGCUGCAUGUUAUCAACAAGUGGAAAAUGUGUUCCGUAUGAAAAAUAGUAUGCGCUACGUACGUUACGGGGCACUAAAGGAUCGAACCGUGCAACGACUUCCAAAACAUUGUGUUUAUCGUUCUAACAACACAUUUAUUCAACCAACAGACGAAAUAUACUACUGAUUAUACAUUGAAAACAGCAGCAGCAGCAACUAGGGCUGGGGGUGCAACAGAAGCAGUAAGGAGGCCAGAAGAGUGAAGACGUAGCUCUCUCUUCCAAACCAAACAUCAGCCAUCAUUACAAAAGGGCUACCAAAAAAGAACAAGUGUAUGCAUCAGACUAAAUAAAGAUCCUACUACACCAAGUGUACGCAUCUAACUAACUGGCUCAGUUAGACAUUACUAUUUAUUAAGCUGUGGAGAUUGGCUGACGGCUUGAACCAGAUGGGUGCCUGACGGGGGAAACUCCAGCCAGCAGGUCGAAGUCUGAUACUUGCGACCCUCUCUCCUACUUUGGGCUGCAGAGCGUGGAGGCACAUAUCAGGGUAUGGUGCAUGCAGAGACGCAUGGUACACUGUGUACACACAGUUUUGCCUGAUGAACGAAACCGCGCUGCCAUCAUGAUCCUUGCCGUCGGUUAUCUCCUGGUUAAUCGGAUAAUUUAGUCCGACAAACAAAGAGCGUGUACCAAGGCUACUUACCAACCUCCAGUCAAAUAUUCUUGAAGGCCCAGAGAAGCUGGGAUCCUGCUCAAAGACCUUGCAGUGACUGUGAUUGUAUUCCACGAAACAACACGUCCGGUACGUGCGAAUGAUCAUCAAUCAUUCGCCGUCGUCUGAUCGAGCCAGGAACCACCUGCAACUGCCAUGCCGCUUUUGUUUGAAAGGUUCUGGGAUUAGGAAGGGUAGGGACACCAGGCAGCCUACAACAUCAUAUCAAGUUGGAGUCAAAUAACCCUCAAAAAAAGUUGGAGUCGAAUAAAAAAGGGCUCUUGAUGUAGUCAAUCUUAAGAAUAGCAUGUUAUGAGCAUGAAUAUUUUUUCAGUAAAUGUUGACAGUAAUAUAAGCAAGCCAUCAUGAUAUCAUAGGAAAGUAACAUACUGCUGUAACAGCCAUUUGUAGCGAUGACUAGAGUAGGCCAGCAAUACGUCCAGCCAUAGAAGGAGUCAACAGCGUAAAUGAAGCCCUUGUGUUCAAUGGCAUCAGAGAACCAUGGAGGAUGUAUGAUCCUGCGAUGGACGUGCAGAUUUAUCCACUUACCGCAGUGACCUGUCAGAUAGGCGAGACCGCGGUUGAAGAACGCAAUUAGCCUGAAGUCUUUAUAAUUCGCAGAUCUUGUGGGCACUUGGCAGAUUACAACCUUGAGCAAAUCAAACUUGGUAUCAUGUUGGCUAUUGUAAGAUUUCGAGUAUUCUGGGCCGCGGUGCCAAAGUAGUGUAGUGUUAAUCGAAGGAAGGGGGAUCAAUCGCCGGGUGUAGACCUCCACGAGCAUCCAGCUGCCGCGACCGUCGACGAGCACCAUCCAAGACGUGUUCAUGCCGACCCAGUACAUACCGUUAAUGUAGUUGAGGGUGACGGGGAUCGGAUCGCAGUCAAGGGGGUUGAUGCUCGCCACCCUACGAUCGUUAUGCUGCGUGACACACCGUUUCUGAAGAUCAGGCGACAUCAGCAAGCAAGGAGCUGGCUUAAAAAGCUCCGGCCUGAGGGCUUUGAGUAAACGGUACAGCCCCGACGAGCACGCGGCGAGCGGCAUGGUACUGAGAUUGUCCACACGCGAAACAAUGAGCUUGAUUACCUCUGUGGGGAGCGAAUUCCAGCCACUCUUUCGGCGGACGCUGCUCGGUUCUGCCAUUGUUAGUGCUUGGGUUUCGGANNNNNNNNNNNNNNNNNNNNNNNNNNNNNNNNNNNNNNNNNNNNNNNNNNNNNNNNNNNNNNNNNNNNNNNNNNNNNNNNNNNNNNNNNNNNNNNNNNNNNNNNNNNNNNNNNNNNNNNNNNNNNNNNNNNNNNNNNNNNNNNNNNNNNNNNNNNNNNNNNNNNNNNNNNNNNNNNNNNNNNNNNNNNNNNNNNNNNNNNNNNNNNNNNNNNNNNNNNNNNNNNNNNNNNNNNNNNNNNNNNNNNNNNNNNNNNNNNNNNNNNNNNNNNNNNNNNNNNNNNNNNNNNNNNNNNNNNNNNNNNNNNNNNNNNNNNNNNNNNNNNNNNNNNNNNNNNNNNNNNNNNNNNNNNNNNNNNNNNNNNNNNNNNNNNNNNNNNNNNNNNNNNNNNNNNNNNNNNNNNNNNNNNNNNNNNNNNNNNNNNNNNNNNNNNNNNNNNNNNNNNNNNNNNNNNNNNNNNNNNNNNNNNNNNNNNNNGGGAAGGCGCCUUAGCGGGGAUGGAAGAGCGGACAAAGAUGGAGAAGCGAAUAUGUGCUGCGGGAAGUGGACAGGUGAUGAUGACUACAUCAUGCCGCUUGACUUACGAGGCACAUACCAGCAGCGUAGGGUCAUAUCGAAGUCAGACAACUUGCUUGAGUGAUCACAGUACUGGUACUCCCUACGGUAUCUACUACUAUGCCCUAACUUGCUUGAGUAGAGUAGUAGUGGAGUAGGACUCUGCUCUACUACUAGCACCGGAGGAGUAGUAUGUUCUAAUCUAAAAUAGUUACAAACUUCAAUGCCCGAGCGUGGAACGACUACGAACCGCCAUCGGUGCUAACUCCAAUCCCCAGCAAACGUUCUCUGGGAGACACGGCAGUUGCAAACGCCCGCGACGCAGUUACAGUACGUGUGUAAGGGUGGCGAUUUUGUCAAAUACUAUGGCUUAAAAACAGGCUACCGUCGGAUGGAAAUCUGACGGUUACGUGGGAUUCGCCAGGAUUGAGUUGCCGAACAAUCGCCAGAUAUCAUUAUAAAAAAAAGGUUAAAACAUCCGGGGCUAUAACUUGCACCGGCUGACCACUAACAAUGAUACUAACAUAGUUGUAAAAUGGUCAAAGACCGUGUCUACGUGGUGUUUGGAAUUACACGCAAAAAAAUUAGCAAGAUGCCCGUGCAUUGCACGGAACAUCAAGAUGCAUUUUUUUACAAAACACCUGUUGUGAU